This 334-nucleotide ribosomal RNA is filed under the name uncultured Leptolinea sp. RNAcentral's name for it is "bacterial SSU rRNA". It matches the Rfam family "Bacterial small subunit ribosomal RNA", at positions 1034 to 1382 of the family's 1533-position model. Lineage: Bacteria; Bacillati; Chloroflexota; Anaerolineae; Anaerolineales; Anaerolineaceae. The record is from RNAcentral.
ACAGGUGCUGCAUGGCUGUCGUCAGCUCGUGUCGUGAGAUGUUCGGUUAAGUCCGCUAACGAGCGCAACCCUCGCUGUGUGUUAUAUGUGUCACACGGGACUGCCGGUCUUAAGCCGGAGGAAGGUGGGGAUGAUGUCAAGUCAGCAUGGCCUUUAUAUCCUGGGCUACACACACGCUACAAUGGCCAACACAAUAGGUUGCUAAGCCGCGAGGUGGCGCCAAUCCAUAAAGUUGGUCUCAGUUCAGAUUGUAGGCUGCAACCCGCCUGCAUGAAGAUGGAGUUGCUAGUAACCGCAGGUCAGCUAUACUGCGGUGAAUACGUUCCCGGGGUUU